UGCCUCAGUGUUUCCCAGUGGACUGAAGGCAUUCAUGUUGAGAAUCCCUGUCUCAGCCUGAGCUCAGAGAGCACUUGCAGAACUGUUUCCUGUUGAUUGUGCUUUUUGGAAUCCGUUUUUAUACAUCUUCAACUGUGCACUGUCUUUAUCUUGCUCUGAAGUCUCUCACAUCCCUCGGGAGGAUGAACUCACCAUAGAAUGACCAGUACAGCGAGGCAGCAUUCAAUUCUGAUGUCACAAAGAAGUUCAUUUGCAUUGGAGCCUCCUGGAUUGCCUGCAGCUCACUGCACUACUUUUCUAGCAAAUGUGUGGAAUUCCCAGCAGGAUGAGCACUUGUGAUUCCAGUGCCUCAUGUAGCUGGAGUUAGAAGACUUCAUUGACAAGCUUGGCUUG
Coturnix japonica (Japanese quail) is the source of this 393-nucleotide non-coding RNA. NCBI's taxonomy places the organism in Eukaryota, Metazoa, Chordata, Aves, Galliformes, Phasianidae. The record is from RefSeq and is a predicted model, not a curated record.